AGGCAACUUUGAAAGUAAUAUCGAUCCUGGAAUUAAUCUGCCAGAGCUUAACCAGGGGAACUUCCAAAAUGUCGACCCUGGAUUCUAUCGGCCUGGAAUAAACCAGGCUCCCGAUCCAAGUGUCUAUUAUAGACGUAAGUAGAUUUGUUCUACUUAUGCGCAUCACAAAUAUAAAAAAGCGGACCCUUACUUACGCGGAGGACGCUAAACAAGCAGAAAAGAAAAUAAAAUUAAAUAUAUUGUAAUUUUUAACAGUUUUAUACGUAAAUUUUCUUACAAAUGUAAACUUAAUAAAGUAGUUCUGAUUGUA
Molecule: long non-coding RNA, 310 nt
Organism: Bicyclus anynana (squinting bush brown)
Lineage: Eukaryota; Metazoa; Arthropoda; Insecta; Lepidoptera; Nymphalidae
Exons: 4
Source: RefSeq, a predicted model, not a curated record